UGAGGAAUAUUGGUCAAUGGACGCAAGUCUGAACCAGCCAAGUAGCGUGCAGGAUGACGGCCCUAUGGGUUGUAAACUGCUUUUAUAUGGGGAUAAAGUGGGGAACGUGUUCCCUUUUGCAGGUACCAUAUGAAUAAGGACCGGCUAAUUCCGUGCCAGCAGCCGCGGUAAUACGGAAGGUUCGGGCGUUAUCCGGAUUUAUUGGGUUUAAAGGGAGCGUAGGCCGUUUGGUAAGCGUGUUGUGAAAUGUAGGAGCUCAACUUCUAGAUUGCAGCGCGAACUGUCAGACUUGAGUGCACACAACGUAGGCGGAAUUCAUGGUGUAGCGGUGAAAUGCUUAGAUAUCAUGAAGAACUCCGAUUGCGAAGGCAGCUUACGGGAGCGAAACUGACGCUGAAGCUCGAAGGUGCGGGUAUCGAACAGG
This 424-nucleotide ribosomal RNA is filed under the name Verrucomicrobiota bacterium. Its description in RNAcentral is "Verrucomicrobia bacterium partial 16S ribosomal RNA". It matches the Rfam family "Bacterial small subunit ribosomal RNA", at positions 355 to 776 of the family's 1533-position model. The record is from RNAcentral. Lineage: Bacteria; Pseudomonadati; Verrucomicrobiota.